CGUCGCUCAGCCAGAUCGGAAUGUGAGACAUUUAUCUUGACACGUUAGUUAGUCUUCGUGAAGCUACACUUCCACUUCCGCUAGUAAAAAAGCCCUAGAAGAAGAACUUAAAGACAUCAAAUCUGUCAGUGACUCUUUGCAGAAAGAGCUGGAAACUUUACAAACUGAAGCUUACCGACUGGAGGAAAUCCAUAAAGAAAAAGAAGAGCUGUGUAUGAAUCAGCAGAUCCAAUGUGAGGAGUCUGAGCAAGACUCUGCCAGGCAGCUAAAGCAGAACGAGCAAAGUGAG
Molecule: long non-coding RNA, 289 nt
Organism: Seriola dumerili (greater amberjack)
Lineage: Eukaryota; Metazoa; Chordata; Actinopteri; Carangiformes; Carangidae
Exons: 5
Source: RefSeq, a predicted model, not a curated record